Maylandia zebra (zebra mbuna) is the source of this 1393-nucleotide non-coding RNA. The record is from RefSeq and is a predicted model, not a curated record. Lineage: Eukaryota; Metazoa; Chordata; Actinopteri; Cichliformes; Cichlidae.
UGGACAGUGCCACAACCUUUGGCUUGGUGUAAAAUGUGAUGCCCCAUCGCCACCUUCUGACCUAACUUCUUCUCAGCUCUGUGACUACUUCAAGAGGGGCAUUCCUGUGUGGAGGUGUGCCAGGCAGCUCGUUUUACCUGUGAACUUGCGUACUUUCACUUCAUCAACAACAAAGACCACCAUGGCUGGUUCAACACCUGCAAGACUGAAGGUGAUUUUAGGAGAGAACAACAUUGAAAAGCUGACUCUUCCAAAUGGCAUCCCAGAGUCACUUGAAGACCUUCUCAGCACGAUAAAGACUACCUUUGGGUUAAAAGGUAACUUCAGACUGCAAUACAUGGACCAAGACUUUGGCAACGACUUCUUCAAUCUGAAUUCUACCACCGAACUUCGGAAUUUGGGGACAAUCAAAGUGAUCCACCAGCAAACAAAUCCACCUUUGAUCAGUGCCGAUCAGUCCACUUCAUCUCUGUCUCUUUCAUUUGAGUCUGAUGACGGUAUUUCGGUGGCAUCAAAUGACACAAUUAUCCUCUCAUCCCCUGAAUCUAUGUCAUCUCGAACACAACAGUGGCCAGAAGACUUUGCAAUUCCCCAAUUUUCAUAUGACACAGAGCUACAGCUAGAGAGGGGAAUACUGAGUACCGUGUGAGCCAAAAAAUGUUGACUUUAAGCGCCCGAAUGCUGUCUGAUAUCCUGAAAAGAGUUGCAGAAGAAAUUUACCGUUACAAGGCCUAUCCAGAGGAUGCACAUUUCUGCGCAGCUGCAGAGGCCCUUAUCAAAAAGCACCCAUGUUUGAAAGAACCUGGAUCAUUCAAUGGCUGCUACGGUUGGAAACAACGACUGAAGUACAAAAUGGCAAACUACAGGACCCAGCUCAAAUUACAGGGGUGUCCAGAGCUGUGUGUAAACUCACUGAAAUCUAAAGCUACUACAGAUGCUUUCCCUGCUAAAAAAGUGAAGAAGCCAAAACGUUCUGAAGCUAACUUUUAUCCAUCCUUUCCUACUGGUGAGACUCUGGACAGCAUGGAAAAAGUGAGACUAGAACUUCUGACAGAGAUCGGGAUAAGGGACAAUGAAAGGGUCAUCGCAGACAAAAUGGCUAACACGUUUACCUACAGACGACAUGAGGUGGUAAACCAAGAACCAAGCAUUCAGGAACUGAAGGACAGAUAGCCUGCACUCUUCACACAGAAAGAGAUAAAUACAGAGUUCCAGAGGCUCAUGGCUGUUCCUCUUGAGUGGAAGUUCAUGGCCCAGUUAGACAUGCACUCAAGUCAGCUGAUCAAAGUCAUACGUGCCAAAGGAGGAGCAACACGCCAAAAGAUUGCGAACAUCAUGGACACAUUGGACCAGGUAAAUCUGUACCAUCAAACAAGAUACUUCGUAACUAAGA